This is a long non-coding RNA of Copidosoma floridanum, 283 nucleotides long. The record is from RefSeq and is a predicted model, not a curated record. Lineage: Eukaryota; Metazoa; Arthropoda; Insecta; Hymenoptera; Encyrtidae.
GGUAUCGGUAGUGGAUGCGACGACUCGAUCAGCUCAACUCCGGUUUCUUCGAGGAGUGGGCACAACCAAAGGAAAAUUGGCUCAAUGAGCAGCAGGAAGAAUAAGCGAAAGUUUCGCCCUAGUGGACUAGUCGAGAUGGAACAUCGGAGUUUCUGAGGAGGACAAACGCUAUUUUUCAUCGAAAAACAGGACCAUCCGGGAGAAUGGGAUCAACGAUCGCACUGGCAGCCACGAGUGCCCUUUUCACCUGCCACUUCAUCGGCUUGUGCGUGGACGACAGAAA